UCCGAUUUGUCACCGGCAGUUUGUUCCAAGUUCCCGGCAUGACCCGCUGGUAACAGAACAUGGGGGUUGCGCUCGUUGCGGGACUUAACCCAACAUUUCACAACACGAGCUGACGACAGCCAUGCACCACCUGUGCACCACCCUCGAAGGCGAGUGGCUUUCACCACCGUGCAGGUGCAUGUCAAGCCCUGGUAAGGUCCUUCGCGUUGCAUCGAAUUAAGCCACAUGCUCCGCCGCUUGUGCGGGCCCCCGUCAAUUCCUUUGAGUUUUAGCCUUGCGGCCGUACUCCCCAGGCGGAGUGCUUAAUGCGUUAGCUGCGGCACGGAGAGGGUUGAAGACCUCCCCACACCUAGCACUCAACGUUUACGGCUGGGACUAC
This 379-nucleotide unclassified non-coding RNA is filed under the name uncultured bacterium. Its description in RNAcentral is "contains 16S-23S intergenic spacer region". The record is from RNAcentral.